GCUGGGUGUGGAAGCACACGCCUGUAGUCCCAGUGACUCAGGAGGCUGAGACAGGAAGAUCACAAGUUCAAAGUCAGCCUCAGCAAAAAAGCGAGGCACUAAGCAACUCAGUGAGACCCUGUCUCUG
RNAcentral lists this small RNA (127 nucleotides) under Marmota monax (woodchuck). The record is from RNAcentral. Lineage: Eukaryota; Metazoa; Chordata; Mammalia; Rodentia; Sciuridae.